GACGAACGCUGGCGGCGUGCUUAACACAUGCAAGUCGAACGGAAAGGCCCUGCUUUUGUGGGGUGCUCGAGUGGCGAACGGGUGAGUAACACGUGAGUAACCUGCCCUUGACUUUGGGAUAACUUCAGGAAACUGGGGCUAAUACCGGAUAGGAGCUCCUGCUGCAUGGUGGGGGUUGGAAAGUUUCGGCGGUUGGGGAUGGACUCGCGGCUUAUCAGCUUGUUGGUGGGGUAGUGGCUUACCAAGGCUUUGACGGGUAGCCGGCCUGAGAGGGUGACCGGACACAUUGGGACUGAGAUACGGCACAGACUACUACGGGAGGCAGCAGUGGGGAAUAUUGCACAAUGGGCGGAAGCCUGAUGCAGCAACGCCGCGUGCGGGAUGACGGCCUUCGGGUUGUAAACCGCUUUCGCCUGUGACGAAGCGUGAGUGACGGUAAUGGGUAAAGAAGCACCGGCUAACUACGUG
Molecule: ribosomal RNA, 468 nt
Filed under: uncultured bacterium
Lineage: Bacteria
Description: partial 16S ribosomal RNA
Rfam family: Bacterial small subunit ribosomal RNA
Source: RNAcentral